Small nuclear RNA from Capra hircus (goat), 107 nucleotides. The record is from Ensembl. NCBI's taxonomy places the organism in Eukaryota, Metazoa, Chordata, Mammalia, Artiodactyla, Bovidae.
GUCUUCACUUCAGCAGCACAUAUACUAAAAUUGGACUGAUACAGAGAAGAUUAGCAUGGCCCCCAUGCAAGGAUGACACACAAAUUCACGAAGCGUUCCUUACUGGA